UACGUAGGUGACAAGCGUUGUCCGGAUUUACUGGGCGUAAGGAGCGCGCAGGCGGUCGUUCAAGUCGAGUGUGAAAGCCCCCGGCUCAACUGGGGAGGGUCAUUCGAUACUGAUCGACUCGAAGGCAGGAGAGGGAAGUGGAAUUCCCGGUGUAGUGGUGAAAUGCGUAGAUAUCGGGAGGAACACCAGUGGCGAAGGCGACUUCCUGGCCUGUUCUUGACGCUGAAGCGCGAAAGCUAGGGGAGCAAACGGG
RNAcentral lists this ribosomal RNA (253 nucleotides) under uncultured bacterium. RNAcentral describes it as "partial 16S ribosomal RNA". It matches the Rfam family "Bacterial small subunit ribosomal RNA", at positions 524 to 776 of the family's 1533-position model. The record is from RNAcentral.